CUGAGCUAAAGGAGCUGGUGGCCCAAAUCAGGGUAGCAGAGCUCAAACAGGGCAAGAGACUGACUCCCCAGGUGGCUGUCCCACAGCAGUGACAUAGCCUGACCUGGGUGAGAAGUGGGUAUACAAAAGGGGGCCUUCUGUAGGCUGCCAGGAGUUCAGAGAGGGUGAGGAAGGCGUCCAGACACAGAGGCUUCCCAGGCAAUGAGGCACAGGGCAUCCCAACCCAAGUGAGAACAGGGUCUGUGUGUGGCAGCAAAGUGAACACCAGGAAUGGUUGUCGAGAGCCACCCGUGGACUAUGUGUGGACCAAAUGGGCAUGGAAGCCCAUUGAAUGGGAAAAUCUGGUAUUUGGGAACUUCCAGUGGCGAUCCUGCUGUUAAGACCUCCCAGACACGUGAGUCCUAUUCAGGUCUGUCAAAUUCCCACAGCACCAGAGAUGGGGUGACCUUCUGCACAUGCAGCAUCUCAGAGGUGGGUGCAGCCUGCCAAGAUGCCAAUCAACUGUUGCUUGCAAGCCACCAUGAAGCAAGACUCCACCCUGAAACCUUACCACUGCCCUUGAUGUACCCCUUUAAAUAAAACCAUGGGAGCCAUUUUCUAAUUAUUCAGCUCCAGCUCCUGUUUGACCUGGACCUAUCAGGUGCUCUGCUUUUAAAAUAUAUUUUUUAACUCUGUCUUUUGUUUCUUCAUUAAUCAUUUCAGACUCUAUUUUCUCAGGUGGUUUAUCUCCUCCUGUGCUAGAAAAAUUACCCUGGCAAGGCACUGGUUGCCUCACAAUACAUGGAAAAAAGGGUCCCCGCAUAGGGUCAAUGAGGCCCAGGGCAUCCCAACCCAAGUGAGAACAGGGUCUGUGUGUGGCAGCAAAGAUAAGCGACAAACAGGGAGCUGGUGGAACAGUCUAUUAAGUGCAUUAAGAGUCAGUUUCUUG
RNAcentral lists this long non-coding RNA (928 nucleotides) under Marmota monax (woodchuck). Lineage: Eukaryota; Metazoa; Chordata; Mammalia; Rodentia; Sciuridae. The record is from RNAcentral.